Ciona savignyi (Pacific transparent sea squirt) is the source of this 120-nucleotide non-coding RNA. The record is from Rfam. Lineage: Eukaryota; Metazoa; Chordata; Ascidiacea; Phlebobranchia; Cionidae.
GCCUAUCACCAUUCCAGAUUGAAUAUACCCGAUCUCGUCUGAUCUCGGAAGUCAAGUAAUCUCGGGCUUGGUUAGUACUUGGAUGGGUGACCGCUUGGGAAUCACCAAGUGUGAUAAGCA